Molecule: long non-coding RNA, 2711 nt
Organism: Astatotilapia calliptera (eastern happy)
Lineage: Eukaryota; Metazoa; Chordata; Actinopteri; Cichliformes; Cichlidae
Source: Ensembl
UAAUGUUUAAGCUGAGCUGCUUGAGCUCCGUACUCUGUCAACCUGGAAACACUCCCGUCAUUGAACAAGCUCCACUAAUCCCUUACCACAGCAUAAGGGGAACUGUGUGGAUCAGACCCCCCACAUCUGAGAAAUACCCCCUGCCUGGCUGUGACUUCUGACCAGUUUAGGAGAAAGCAAGAGAAACUACACCAGAGCAAAGCCGCUGCCCUGCUGGCAUCAGCCCCAUGUUUCUGAGGACGUGUGAAAUUGAAGACGUCAAACUCCCAUUUGAAGGCAGGAGGGGUGGGUGGUGGUGUAAGUGAGUGGUUCCUGAAUGGUGUACCAGGAGGAUUUUAUAUUAGCUAUACUACAGCCUGUUCAAAACACUUAUGAGUAUAUGUGUCUUUGUGUUUUCAGUACAUGUCACAUUUUAAUUUAAUUGUACUUUUAAGGAGGUUUUUUUUUUUGUUUGUUUUUCUUUCUUAUCAAUGAAUACGAUUUUUAUGGCCUGAAAUAUUCUCUGAAAGCCCCCCAAAAAAGAAAAAAGAAAAACAUCAAGGGGAACCCUCCAAAUGACGGGAAUAAUAGAGUUUAAAAAGUUGGCAAGCCUCCCUGUAAAGCCAGAAAAUGAAGUAAUAAAUCAUUUAAAUUUUAAGUUUGUUUUAUUUUAUUUCUUUAAUUUUAAAAAUGAAAUUUUGGUUAAUGUUGUGGCACAUGGACAGUGGAAGACCUCUCUGCAUUGAAUCAUACUUGUUGUUAAUCUCUGGCUCUCUUCCACAGCAUGUCUUCAUCCUGUCUUCCUUCUCUCACCCCAACCGGUCGCAGCAGAUGGCCCCGCCCCUCCCUGAGCCUGUUCUGUCGGAGGUUUCUUCCUGUUAAAAGGGAGUUUUUCCUUCCCACUGUCGCCAAAGUGCUGCUCAUAGGGGGUUAUUGUUGGGUUUUUCUCUGUAUGUAUUAUUGUAGGCUCUACCUUACAAUGCAAAUACAUUUUUUUACAUGUUACAUUUCAUUACACAUGAUCAAGUCAAUGUGUUUAACACAGACACACACAAAGAAGCUAAAUGCUGGUUUAGUUCAAUGACUCCCACUUCUUUAAAGAUCUGUCUGCUUGAGGAAUCUCAAAAACAAACACUGAUUUCAGAGUGAUGCUCACGCUUACUGUCACAGUUCUGGGUCGGUUCGACCCAGUAUUUUGAGUUCUGAUGUUUUGGUUUAUUUUUGAAUGUUUGUUGUGUUUUUCGGGUGCUAUGAUCAUUAUUAUUAUUAUUCCAUGUUUCUGUUUAUUCGUGUUUCAGGAUUUGUGUCUCAUGUUUAGCAUUGAGUUCGAUGUGUUAUAUUCUGUCUGCCUCUCAGUGUCGUGUCUGCGACUUUGUGUAGUGUUUUCUUGUUUCCUGUUUUAUUGUGAAGGUCUGCGUCUCAUGUGAGUGUGUUUAGGUUACCUCCCUUGUCUCGUCUAGUUAAUUACUCCCAGCUGUGUCCCCCACCGGUGUGUAAUCUCCCUGUGUUUCUCUGAGUGUAUUUAAGUUGUGUCUUCUGUCAUUGUAGUUGCUGGUCCAUCUGUGCGUCCACCAUGCUCCAUCUGUGUGUUCUACCUGCUGUCAACCAUCAUUUGCCUCCGUCCAUCCUCCUUCAUGUUCAUGUCCUGGUUUGUGUUCAGUAGUUUAGAUAGUCUUCUGUCCCGUUUGCCGUUUCUCUUUUUGCAUUUUGUGUUCAAUAAACUACCUCACCUUCACGAGUGCCUGCGACUCGAUCCUCCUUUAAUAUUUCCACAUGGCUCAUCUCACUCGCCGUGACAGUUACACAGGCAGAGACUAGCAGCGAUGCUGUGGACAAUGACGUGUGAAACAACCUUUAGCAGGUAGAGAGCAGGUCUCAGGUUAAACUUACUUCUGUUUUGAGGUGAGGGAUUAAAAUGACAGUGAACAUGAUUAAAGGAAAUCGCAACUUAUUUCAUGGGAGAUAAGAUGACAGCCUACAUCCAUGUGCAUUUUUGUCAUGGUUGACAUGACACUGAGUUGUUUGUCAGCAUCAUGUAGAGGAUAAGUUUGUCUUAAAUUGUUUUUUUUUUUUUAUUAAAACCUGGUUACUUUUGCAAUUCCCACAAUUCCCUGUCAGCACCUAUUUCUGAUUGAAACACUUUGUGUGGCCUGCACAGAGCUCAUGCCGCACACUGUUGGUGCACACACACACACUCACACACUCACACACUGUCUCUUUCCUGAUAUUCCAAUAACUCAUAGGGAGUAGCAGAAUGUUAUUAUAGCCUGGAGGGCUUUCUCUCGUCAAAAUGGCCUCUGGGUACACACAUGUUUUUUGAGGUUUGGGUUUGUGUGCGUGUUUGUGUGCGUGUUUGUGUGCGUGUUUGUGUGCGCGCGGGCCUCAUUCUCAUGUAACAUUUCUUAGACUAACAUGAGUCAGUGCGUAAGAAUUUCAAAAGUCUUUAUGAGUGUUUGAGAUUCAUUUGGUCAUUGAUGCAGAGUGUGAGAAAUGAGUGUGUGACUGUGACGGCUGUGUCGGAACAGUUUAAAUGAUUUAAAAGACAUGUAUGAAAUAUGGGAGGUGGCAAAUGCGAUUUCUCAUCUCGUGACCAGGCCCUCCUGGCUGCAAAGUUUUUCUAUGAUUGUACCCGCGAGCCAAAAGUAAAAAAAAAAAAAAAAAAAGCAGUACAUUAAGUCGUGACUGAGAAUAAUGUCAGAGCAGUUAUGAGACCCGGCUCACAGCGCUUCACA